UAAUUUAUAUGUGAUUAGUUAAAUUUAUAUUUA
RNAcentral lists this transfer RNA (33 nucleotides) under Rosa moyesii. Its description in RNAcentral is "partial tRNA-Val". The record is from RNAcentral. Lineage: Eukaryota; Viridiplantae; Streptophyta; Magnoliopsida; Rosales; Rosaceae. RNAcentral also lists the same sequence under 1 other name.